UUAGCCAGGAGUCGAAUUUCAAAUCGGAGCAAUUAUUGGCGUUGCAGAGUGAAGCCGCUGCACUCAAGGAGGUUGGUGAAGAACUGAAAUUGAAAAUAAUGGAGACAGGUCAUAGAGGGGAACUUCUAGAAAUUGAAAAUUGUAACCUGGCAAAAGCAUUGCAGUUGGCAGAAGAUGAGUUGAAGACUGUUAAAAGUAUGAUGGAUCAGCUCAAUUUUCAAGUAGUUGCUAGCAAAAAUCUGAUGUCUGAAAAGGACACUGAGCUUCAAGGAAUGGAACAGAAGCUUUAUCUUACUGAAACUGAGAAAGUUGUGUUGCAUCAAUUUUUGAUGAAUGAAGUCGCUGCACUCAAAGAGGGUAGUGAAGAACUGAAAUUGAAAAUAAGGGAGAAAGAUCGCAGAGGGGAACUGCUAGAAAUUGAAAAUUGUGACCUAGCAAAAGCAUUGCAGUUGGCAGAGGAUGAGUUGAAGACUCUUAAAAGUAUGACGGAUCAGCUCAAUCUUCAAGUAAAUGUUGGCAAAAAUCUGUUGUCUGAGAAGGACACUGAGCUACAGGGAAUGGAACAGAAGCUUUAUCUAACUGAAACUGAAAAAGCUGUGUUGCAUCAAAUUUUGAUGAAUGAAGUUGCUGCACUCAAAGAGGGUAGUGAAGAACUGAAAUUGAUAAUAAGGGAGAAAGAUCGCAGAGGGGAACUGCUAGAAAUUGAAAAUUGUGACCUAGCAAAAGCAUUGCAGUUGGCAGAGGAUGAGUUGAAGACUCUUAAAAGUAUGACGGAUCAGCUCAAUCUUCAAGUAAAUGUUGGCAAAAAUCUGUUGUCUGAGAAGGACACUGAGCUUCAGGGAGUGGAACAGAAGCUUUAUCUUACUGAAACUGAGAAAGCUGUGUUGCAUCAAAUUUUGAUGAAUGAAGUUGCUGCACUCAAAGAGGGUAGUGAAGAACUGAAAUUGAUAAUAAGGGAGAAAGAUCGCAGAGGGGAACUGCUAGAAAUUGAAAAUUGUGGCCUAGCAAAAGCAUUGCAGUUGGCAGAGGAUGAGUUGAAGACUCUUAAAAGUAUGACGGAUCAGCUCAAUCUUCAAGUAAAUGUUGGCAAAAAUCUGUUGUCUGAGAAGGACACUGAGCUUCAGGGAAUGGAACAGAAGCUUUAUCUUACUGAAACAGAGAAAGCUGUGUUACAUCAUAUUUUGAAGAGUGAAGUUGCUACACUCAAAGAGGGUAGUGAAGAACUGAAAUUGAAAAUAAGGGAGAAAGAUCACAGAGGGGAACUGCUAGAAAUUGAAAAUUGUAACCUGGCAAAAGCAUUGCAGUUGGCAGAAGAUGAGUUGAAGACUGUUAAAAGUAUGAUGGAUCAGCUCAAUCUUCAAGUAAAUGUUGGCAAAGAUCUGUUGUCUGAGAAGGACACUGAGCUUCAGGGAAUGGAACAAAAACUUUAUCUUACUGAAACUGAGAAAGCUGUAUUGCAUCAAAUUUUGAAGAACUUGAGCAGAGAACUUAUUGGGAGUAAAAUAAUUAUGGAGGACCAAGAAAAGAAGAUCCUAAAGUUGUGUGCUGACAGCAACCAACUGCGCACAGAAAACAUGCACCUUUUUGAGGCCAGUCAGCUAUUGCAGGAAGGGCUUCAGCAAUCAGGUGGUGAGCUUGAAAAGCUAAAGAUGCAAGAGGAAGCGUUGCACUCUGAGCUCCAGAAGCAAUUGAAUGAGAUUAAGACAUGGAAGUUAGAGAUGGAUGUGCUUUUAGGCGAGUUGCAGGUCUCGAUGUUCUACCAUAUCCUUUAUGAGCAGAAGAUUCAUGAGCUUGCAGAAGCAUGUCAAAGCUUUGAUGUCCAAAUCACUUCAAAGGAUAAGGACAUUAAACUUCUGAAAGAAAAAGUGAGCACUUUGGGUACUGAAAAUGAAGACCUUAACACUCAGUUAGCUGCAUAUGGACCUGCAAUCUUCUCUUUGAGCCAAUGCAUAUCAUCCCUAGAGAAGCACUCCUAUUUGCAUGGGAAACCCAAAAGGCCUGAUAAUGAGGACACAAAGGUAACUGCUUCUACACUAAUGUCCCCUGCUUGACUUCUUUUAGCUGGACAGUAAAAUAAGUAAUAUCAUAUUAGAAAGCUUUUGAAAUUAAUCUUGUCCGUUAAAAUGCUAAUUGGCUACUGAUAUGUGAUAUGUAUAAUGUAUGCGUGUGUCUGUAUUAUAUGCCACAAGUUGUUCCUCACUUGUAGAAAGAUACAUUCUCAAUUGUAUCACGUGAAUUUAUUAACUGUUGUAUCAUCUGUUAUCCUCUCCAUCCGUGUGGUAAGUUGCAAUGGUACUCUCGUCACCAGGGCCCAGGUGUUUUUUUCCGUCUUGCAUUUUCCUCCUAAAUCAUGUUGCAUCCUGUCUAGGUUGCCUUAGAAUACUUUCUUUAAGCAGUCUUAGGUUUGUUGGUUUCAUACAUCGUACUUUUAACAAUGACGUGAACACACUUAAGAGCCUGCUAAUUUUCAUAGACACAUUAAUUAAUAUGUGAUGGACCUCGAUAUUUGGCAUGGACAAUAUGAUGAUCAGAAUUAGUUAUUUUUUCCUAGAAUUUAGUGACAAGAAGCUUGAUUUCCCCAAGUGACGCUAAAUCUCAUAGUGUAGGGUAAAAAUACGAGACACAUUGUAAACAUUUGUGUACAAAAGUGGACCCAUGCAUGAUGCUUCUGCAAUAUGAAAUUUCGAGAAAUUAGAUCAACGGAGACUUAGCACUGCAUUCUAAAGGUUAUUUUGAAGAAUUUAGACCUUGUCAAUAAGUAGAAAUUAAGGUUUUCUUUUUUCCUUGUUAUGUGAGAUAAAGAUUAUCAUCUUGGCUUAUUUUCAGGACAUUGUAGUAGCUCCUACAGAUGACAGCACUCAUUUGAAAGACAAUGAAAAUGCAGUGACAACCGAUGCAUUUUUUGAUCUGCAUGGAUUGGAAAUAAGGGUUCGAGCUGUUGAGAAGACAUUGGUUGAAAUGGAGCAGCUUGUGGUGAAGGAAAAUGUGAACAUGCAUAGCAAACUACAGGCUGCAAUGCAACAAAUUGAGGAGUUAAAGUCAGAGAGUAGCCGACAUAGAAGAAAUUCAGCACCUAAAUCUGAAAUCUUUGAGGCAGAAAACGGAAUCCUCACCAAGGACAUCAUGCUUGACCAUGUAUCUGAGUGUUCAUCCUAUAGAAAUGGCAGGAGAGAGCAGGAUAAUCUAGUUUUUGACCUAUGGGAUACUACCAGUCCUACUGCUGGUAAAGCAAAGUUGGAUGAUACUCCAAAUGCUGAAAAUGAUAUUGAUUUCCAUAAACGUGUUCUAUCAGUGAAGAAAAAGUGUCAACGUCCUGCCUCAGAUGUGCUAAGUGAGAAGUAUUCAGAUGAGGGCAAACUGAACAUCUCAAAGAGAUCAACAGAGUCCAUUCAAGAGGGAAACAAGAGGAGGGUCUUACAGAGGCUUGAUUCUGAUGUGCAGAAAUUAACUAACCUUCAGAUCACAGUACUAGACUUGAAGAGGGAACUUGAGAUUACUGAGAAGGGAAAAAGGGGUAAAGCUGUAGCUGAAUCAGACACUCUCAAAGGAC
RNAcentral lists this long non-coding RNA (3550 nucleotides) under Solanum tuberosum (potato). RNAcentral describes it as "long non-coding RNA (STUB_LNC009256)". Lineage: Eukaryota; Viridiplantae; Streptophyta; Magnoliopsida; Solanales; Solanaceae. The record is from RNAcentral.